CGCCCAUCCCCGGGGAGCCGAGCGGCUGAGAGGUGGGCGUUGCGCCCCACGACCCGUUGAACCUGAACCGGCUGAUACCGGCGGAGGGAGGGAGCGGCGUUUUUAC
RNAcentral lists this non-coding RNA (106 nucleotides) under Blastomonas sp. AAP25. Its description in RNAcentral is "TPP riboswitch aptamer (THI element)". It matches the Rfam family "TPP riboswitch aptamer (THI element)". Rfam says of the family: Vitamin B(1) in its active form thiamin pyrophosphate (TPP) is an essential coenzyme that is synthesised by coupling of pyrimidine and thiazole moieties in bacteria. The previously detected thiamin-regulatory element, thi box was extended, resulting in a new, highly conserved RNA secondary structure, the THI element, which is widely distributed in eubacteria and also occurs in some archaea. Analysis of operon structures identified a large number of new candidate thiamin-regulated genes, mostly transporters, in various prokaryotic organisms. Lineage: Bacteria; Pseudomonadati; Pseudomonadota; Alphaproteobacteria; Sphingomonadales; Blastomonadaceae. RNAcentral also lists the same sequence under 1 other name. The record is from Rfam by way of RNAcentral.